This 459-nucleotide ribosomal RNA is filed under the name uncultured bacterium. Its description in RNAcentral is "partial 16S ribosomal RNA". It matches the Rfam family "Bacterial small subunit ribosomal RNA", at positions 338 to 795 of the family's 1533-position model. The record is from RNAcentral.
CCUACGGGAGGCAGCAGUGAGGAAUAUUGGUCAAUGGGCGGGAGGCUGAACCAGCCAAGCCGCGUGAGGGAAGACGGUCCUAAGGAUUGUAAACCUCUUUUGUCGGGGAGCAAAAGACGCCACGCGUGGCGUUCCGAGAGUACCCGAAGAAAAAGCAUCGGCUAACUCCGUGCCAGCAGCCGCGGUAAUACGGAGGAUGCGAGCGUUAUCCGGAUUUAUUGGGUUUAAAGGGUGCGCAGGCGGACGAUCAAGUCAGCGGUAAAAUUGAGAGGCUCAACCUCUUCGAGCCGUUGAAACUGGGUUUCUUGAGUGGGCGAGAGGUAUGCGGAAUGCGUGGUGUAGCGGUGAAAUGCAUAGAUAUCACGCAGAACUCCGAUUGCGAAGGCAGCAUACCGGCGCUCAACUGACGCUCAUGCACGAAAGUGUGGGUAUCGAACAGGAUUAGAUACCCGGGUAGUC